Molecule: ribosomal RNA, 500 nt
Filed under: uncultured bacterium
Lineage: Bacteria
Description: partial 16S ribosomal RNA
Rfam family: Bacterial small subunit ribosomal RNA
Source: RNAcentral
GACGAACGCUGGCGGCGUGCCUAAUACAUGCAAGUCGAGCGGACUGAUUAAGAGCUUGCUCUUAUGACGUUAGCGGCGGACGGGUGAGUAACACGUGGGCAACCUGCCCUGUAGAUCGGGAUAACACCGAGAAAUCGGUGCUAAUACCGGGUAAUAUCUGAGAUCACAUGAUCUUAGGUUAAAAGAUGGCUCCGGCUAUCACUACAGGCUGGGCCCGCGGCGCAUUAGCUAGUUGGUAAGGUAAUGGCUUACCAAGGCGACGAUGCGUAGCCGACCUGUGAGGGUGAUCGGCCACACAGGGACUGAGACACGGCCCAGACUCCUACGGGAGGCCGCAGUAGGGAAUCUUCCGCAAUGGACGAAAGUCUGACGGAGCAACGCCGCGUGAGUGAUGAAGGGUUUCGGCGCGUAAAGCGCUGUUGUUAGGGAAGAAACAGUACCGAACGAACUAGGUCGGUACCUUGACGGUACCUAACCAGAAAGCCACGGCUAACUACGUG